RNAcentral lists this microRNA precursor (74 nucleotides) under Mus caroli (Ryukyu mouse). Its description in RNAcentral is "miRNA (MGP_CAROLIEiJ_G0006930.1)". Lineage: Eukaryota; Metazoa; Chordata; Mammalia; Rodentia; Muridae. The record is from RNAcentral.
CUAGAGACAGAGGCUUAUGGCUCUAAACCAUAAGAGCUGAGAGCCUCUAGUUUCUGGCUGUAGAAGCUAGAGAC